Molecule: RNA transcript, 2124 nt
Organism: Colius striatus (speckled mousebird)
Lineage: Eukaryota; Metazoa; Chordata; Aves; Coliiformes; Coliidae
Gene: CEP19
Gene name: centrosomal protein 19
Exons: 4
Source: RefSeq, a predicted model, not a curated record
AGCCAUGGCAACCGGGCCCCGGGAAGGGCGGGAAGCGGCCGCCCCUCAGGGGCAGCGGCGGAAAGCGCCGGCCCCGGCCCGCGGCCCCUCACGCUCAGCGCCCGGCUCCGAGAGGACCCGCGUCUGGCGGGACGAGCGCUGCGAAAGCGGCAGUUUAAGGCCAGAAGUAGUUGCGCUGCAGCACAGGGGCAAAACCCCACGGAUCUGUGUCUCGGGGCUAGCGAAAGCCGCCUCUCACGCCUGGCAGCCGAGGUCUCUGCGCCACCUGACGAUACGAAACCCCUUCCCCUUCUCUGUUACGUGGAUCAGAGGGGCUGCUCCUCAGUGAGCUUGGACACUGCUGAGGGCAUCUCGGACGCAGCCAGCCGUUCUUCAGCCAAUGGCAGGAACAGCAAUGGCUUACGUUGCAAAGAAGUGUGGCAUCAUCUUCCAGCCUCCCUCCAUUGUCCUGAUCUACAGAGAUGUCAGCAAGGACAAGACUCGCCAGCGCAUCAUGCCUGUCCGGAAUUUCUCCAGGUUCUCAGACUGCAGCAUGGCUGCCGAGCAGCUGAAGAACAACGCCCGGCACAAGGCUUACCUUGAAGGAGUCUCCCUGUGGCAGCUCCAGAAGCUGUACAGCUUGCUGAAAGGUCACCUGGGAGGAGAGAGCCUGACUCAGAGCUUGGAGAAGUUUCGCCAGGAAGAGACCAUCGACCCAGAAGAGGAUAUGAAUAAACUGGAUGACAAGGAACUAGCCAAAAGGAAGAGCAUCAUGGAUGAGCUCUUUGAAAAGAACAGGAAGAAGAAGGACGACCCAGACUUCAUCUACGACAUUGAGGUUGAGUUUCCUCAGGAGGAGCAGCUAGAGUCCUGUGGCUGGGACGUGGAGUCAGGUGAAGAGAUCUGACUCCUGACAAAGAUGUCGUGGAUGGGCAUGUGAGAGGUGAACCUCACCGUCCCAGCAGAGAGGAGGAGGUCACCCGAUAUCUGGCACCGCAUUGUCUGCAGCCAGUGCAGUCCACGUGCGUUACGCUGGCGAUGGAGAACCCAAGGCCCAGGCUGCUACAGCAGUUCCAGUUUAAGGAUUGUGACUUCACCAAGCAACACCACCCCAAAAGGCAUCUUUUAGCUCUGCUGAUAACAGCUGCCUUAUCAGCACAAGGACACGGGCAUGUGCCCAGGGCUGCCUGUGAGUUUGCUGGGCCUGGCAAGAGCAGUGUGGGAAGCUGUGGCCACAGAUACCCUUCUCUGCAGAACCUGCAUGAUGCUCCAGCCCAGGGCAGGUUGUGGAUGUUGGCUGCAGUGGAGAGUUGGCUACAGGGGUGAAUAAAUAAAAGGAGCUGCCUGAAGGAGGAGAAAGACAAUUCUGGAGAAACUGUCUGUGUCCCUUUGGCCAAGAAGCGUUUGAUGUUGUGUCCCUUGGCUCUUGCCGACAUCGGCUGAAGGUUUCUACUGGUCCUUGAGGAUGCCCAGCACAGCCCCAGGCUCUGUCACCAGACAUGGCCCUGGGUUCCAUCACCAGACACAGCCCCAGGUUCCGUCACCAGACACAGCCCCACACCCUUCAGCACCCUUAGGGCAUUUGUAGCAGGAACAACAGCUCUCCCAGAACCCUCUGGUCCCGCAGCCAUCAAGUCUCCAUCUCACACACCUCAGGGAGAUUAUCCCCUGUAAUCCUGACAACCCGCUCGUAUUCACUGCUCCUGAGCCCUUCCUCCUCCUCAGCGUCAGUAAGGGCUGGACACCCCACACCGGCUUUUCACCAUUUUCAGCAGCUUUUGCUUGAAGGUGAGGAAGACGACGGCGAAGGCCACCAGGAGUGUGAGGCAGGUGGGCAGAGCCAGCACCAGGUAGAGGAGUGCCAGGUCGGCUGUCUGCCAGCGGCAGCUGCUCAGGACGGGCUCGGGCAGCGCCGCGGGGCUCAGCGUGCGGGAGGCGUAGCUGCAGGUCACGUCCCGCCCGUCGGCCACGUGCAGCCCUGGCACCCGCUGCAGCGAGUCCCACCAGCCCAGCGUGCAGCAGUUGUAGGGGUUUCGGGCGAGGUAGAGCUCCCGCAGGCUCCUGCCCAGCAGCGUGUGCGCCACGCCGGGCGGCAGGGCCUGCAAGCAGUUGUCCCGCAGGUCCAGGCUGCGCAGCCUCAGGCCG